UACGUAGGGCGCAAGCGUUGUCCGGAAUUAUUGGGCGUAAAGAGCUCGUAGGCGGCUUGUCGCGUCGACUGUGAAAACCCGCGGCUCAACCGCGGGCCUGCAGCCGAUACGGGCAGGCUAGAGUUCGGUAGGGGAGACUGGAAUUCCUGGUGUAGCGGUGAAAUGCGCAGAUAUCAGGAAGAACACCAAUGGCGAAGGCAGCUCUCUGGGACGGUACUGACGCUGAGACGCGAAAGCGUGGGGAGCGAACAGG
Molecule: ribosomal RNA, 253 nt
Filed under: uncultured bacterium
Lineage: Bacteria
Description: partial 16S ribosomal RNA
Rfam family: Bacterial small subunit ribosomal RNA
Source: RNAcentral